CCCGUGUGGCGCAGAGUUGAUGUAGGCCGAGCGGAACGGCCCUUCGGGGUACUCGAGCGGCGAACGGGUGAGUAACACGUGAGUAACCUGCCCCAGGCUUUGGGAUAACCCCGGGAAACCGGGGCUAAUACCGGAUAUGACUGGCUGCCGCAUGGUGGUUGGUGGAAAGAUUUUUCGGCUUGGGAUGGACUCGCGGCCUAUCAGCUUGUUGGUGGGGUAAUGGCCUACCAAGGCGGCGACGGGUAGCCGGCCUGAGAGGACGACCGCCCACACUGGACUGAGACACACCAGACUCUACGGGAGGCAGCAGUGGGAUCCUGCACAUGACGAGCUGAUGCAGCGACGCCGCGUGAGGGAUGACGCCUUCGAGUUGUAAACCUCUUUCAGCAGGGACGAAGCGUUUGUGACGGUACCUGCAGAAGAAGCGCCGGCCAACUACGUGCCAGCAGCCGCGGUAAGACGUAGGGCGCAAGCGUUGUCCGGAUUUAUUGGGCGUAAAGAGCUCGUAGGCGGCUUGUCGCGUCGACUGUGAAAACCCGUGGCUCAACUUCGGGCUUGCAGUCGAUACGGGCAGGCUAGAGUUCGGUAGGGGAGACUGGAAUUCCUGGUGUAGCGGUGAAAUGCGCAGAUAUCAGGAGGAACACCGGUGGCGAAGGCGGGUCUCUGGGCCGAUACUGACGCUGAGGAGCGAAAGCGUGGGGAGCGAACAGGAUUAGAUACCCUGGUAGUCCACGCUGUAAACGUUGGGCGCUAGGUGUGGGGGGCCUCUCCGGUUCUCUGUGCCGCAGCUAACGCAUUAAGCGCCCCGCCUGGGGAGUACGGCCGCAAGGCUAAAACUCAAAGGAAUUGACGGGGGCCCGCACAAGCGGCGGAGCAUGCGGAUUAAUUCGAUGCAACGCGAAGAACCUUACCUGGGUUUGACAUCGCCGGAAAUCCUUCAGAGAUGGGGGGUCCUUCGGGGCCGGUGACAGGUGGUGCAUGGCUGUCGUCAGCUCGUGUCGUGAGAUGUUGGGUUAAGUCCCGCACGAGCGCACCCUUGUCGAUGUGCCAGCGCGUAUGCGGGACUCAUCGAGACUGCCGGGUCAACUCGAGGAAGGUGGGGAUGACGUCAAGUCAUCAUGCCCCUAAUGUCCAGGGCUUCACGCAUGCUACAAUGGCCGGUACAAUGGGCUGCGAUACCGUGAGGUGGAGCGAAUCCCAAAAAGCCGGUCUCAGUUCGGAUCGGGGUCUGCAACUCGACCCCGUGAAGUCGGAGUCGCUAGUAAUCGCAGAUCAGCAACGCUGCGGUGAAUACGUUCCCGGGCCUUGUACACACCGCCCGUCACGUCCCGAAAGUCGGCAACACCCGUAGAGCGGUGGCCUAACUCAGUCGUAGCAACCAGCAGUAGAGUUAAGGCCC
Molecule: ribosomal RNA, 1399 nt
Filed under: Salinispora sp. 13-18-31
Lineage: Bacteria; Bacillati; Actinomycetota; Actinomycetes; Micromonosporales; Micromonosporaceae
Description: bacterial SSU rRNA
Rfam family: Bacterial small subunit ribosomal RNA
Source: RNAcentral